Sphaeroforma arctica JP610 is the source of this 73-nucleotide non-coding RNA. The record is from Rfam. NCBI's taxonomy places the organism in Eukaryota, Ichthyosporea, Ichthyophonida.
ACGGGUAUAACACAAUUGGUUAGUGUGUAAGUCUUCCAAACUUGAAAUACUGGUUCGAGUCCAGUUAUCCGUA